This is a long non-coding RNA of Onychomys torridus (southern grasshopper mouse), 868 nucleotides long. RefSeq lists it as uncharacterized. The record is from RefSeq and is a predicted model, not a curated record. NCBI's taxonomy places the organism in Eukaryota, Metazoa, Chordata, Mammalia, Rodentia, Cricetidae. The transcript has 3 exons.
CCUUGCUGGACACAGACUCCGGAGCCAUACUCCAAGGUGUGCCAGGCAUUAUGUUUUGCUCAGGCCCCUGCAACUCUGCUCCAGGAACUAAGAAAAGGAAAAACAUUUCCAAGGAACAGCUCCGCCUGGCAGAGCAGGAACCUCAGAUCCUGGACAGUCAAAGAUGAAGAAACAGCCUUUAAUUCUCUUAAAUUCUGUUUAAAUAUUUGGUGAUAAGAAGUACAUUCACUCUUCAGUCCAGCUCCUAAGCUUGCAGAGAGGCUCAUGGUCUAGUACCAGUGACCCACAACAGGCUGUCCACAAUGAUGCCAACAGGACAGACAGCUGCCCAGUGGCCCUCAAGGACUAACAGACUCUUCCUGGCUUUCAGUUGCACCUCCUCCCACCUCCUCUACUCUGCACCCUGACACCUCUGAAGAUGACUUCUCCAGUAUUCCCUCUUCAGAUGUUUCCCUGAAUCCCUUGCUGGGAGACUCAGGGGUAGUCUCCACCAUGUGGUACUCUCUCCAUGUUUAUCAGGCGUUGGCACUGCUCCUGAAUCCUAGCCUCUAGCUACUGAAGCUCUGUUCCUUACAUAUUAUUGGGUGCCAUGUAUUAUGUUAUAGUUCCAGAAAACAGACAGAAGCAGAGAGGGAGCUUUGGGUGCUGAGGUGGGCAGCCCAUAGGCCCAGCAUAACUAUCCUAAUCCCCAGGGAGGCAGGAAACUCCCUCUAGCCACUGAAAAGGCCACAGGAAUUUGAUAGGUGAGGCUCCCAGAGUCAUUCACCUUGCUUGUCUGAGACAAGUUUUCUCACUGGCCUGGGGCUCACCAUGUCUUUGACACAAGGAUCUGUCUGUCCCUGCCUUCUAGGCACUUGGAUUAUAAACU